CAAUAGCGUAUAUUAAAGUUGUUGCGGUUAAAAAGCUCGUAGUUGGAUUUCUGCUGAGAACGACCGGUCCGCCCAUUGGGUGUGUAUCUGGCUCUUUCUUGGCAUCUUCUUGGUGAACGUUACUGCACUUGACUGUGUGGAGCGCUACCCAGGACUUUUACUUUGAGGAAAUUAGAGUGUUUCAAGCAGGCAUACGCCUUGAAUACGUUAGCAUGGAAUAAUAAGAUAGGACCUCGGUUCUAUUUUGUUGGUUUCUAGAGCUGAGGUAAUGAUUAAUAGGGAUAGUUGGGGGCAUUCGUAUUUAACUGUCAGAGGUGAAAUUCUUGGAGUUGUUAAAGACGGACUACUGCGAAAGCAUUUGCCAAGGAUGUUUUCAUUGA
Molecule: ribosomal RNA, 380 nt
Filed under: uncultured eukaryote
Lineage: Eukaryota
Description: partial 18S ribosomal RNA
Rfam family: Eukaryotic small subunit ribosomal RNA
Source: RNAcentral